Molecule: ribosomal RNA, 406 nt
Filed under: uncultured bacterium
Lineage: Bacteria
Description: partial 16S ribosomal RNA
Rfam family: Bacterial small subunit ribosomal RNA
Source: RNAcentral
AUUGAACGCUGGCGGCAGGCCUAACACAUGCAAGUCGAACGAGUGGCGGACGGGUGAGUAAUGUCUGGGAAACUGCCCGAUGGAGGGGUAUAACCACUGGAAACGGUAGCUAAUACCGCAUACCAUCGGAUGUGCCCAGAUGGGAUUAGCGAGGAGGUGGGGUAACGGCUCCACUAGGCGACGAUCACUAGCUGGUCUGAGAGGAUGACCAGCCACACUGGAACUGAGACACGGUCCAGACUCCUACGGGAGGCAGCAGUGGGGAAUAUUGCACAAUGGGCGCAAGCCUGAUGCAGCCAUGCCGCGUGUAUGAAGAAGGCCUUCGGGUUGUAAAGUACUUUCAGCGAGGAGGCGUUACUCGCAGAAGAAGCAUCGGCUAACUCCGUGCCAGCAGCCGCGGUAAUUC